This 1152-nucleotide ribosomal RNA is filed under the name metagenome. RNAcentral's name for it is "SSU rRNA". It matches the Rfam family "Eukaryotic small subunit ribosomal RNA", at positions 582 to 1758 of the family's 1831-position model. The record is from RNAcentral.
AUUCCAGCUCCGCAGGUGUAUAUCUAUGCUGCUGCGGUUAAAAAGCUCGUAGUUGGAUCUGCGUGCUCGGAACUGGUUGGCUCACUGAGUUCAAACUGGUCUCCGGCGCUUUAUUGGCUGGUUUUCCCUUGAUGCUCUUAACCGGGUGUCUUGGGUGGCUAGCACGUUUACUUUGAAAAAAUUAGAGUGCUCAAUACAGGCGUAAAGCCUUGAAUAGUGGUGCAUGGAAUAAUAGAAUAGGACCUCGGCUCUAUUUUGUUGGUUUUCGGAACGCGAGGUAAUGAUUAAGAGGGACAGACGGGGGCAUUCGUAUUGCGACGUUAGAGGUGAAAUUCUUGGAUCGUCGCAAGACGGACGACUGCGAAAGCAUUCGCCAAGAAUGUUUUCAUUAAUCAAGAACGAAAGUUAGAGGUUCGAAGGCGAUCAGAUACCGCCCUAGUUCUAACCGUAAACGAUGCCAACUAGCGAUUCGCAGGCGUUAAACAACGACCUUGCGGGCAGCUUCCCGGAAACGAAAGUGUCCGGGUUCCGGGGGAAGUAUGGUUGCAAAGCUGAAACUUAAAGGAAUUGACGGAAGGGCACCACCAGGAGUGGAGCCUGCGGCUUAAUUUGACCCAACACGGGAAAACUCACCCGGCCCGGACACCGUAAGGAUUGACAGAUUGAGAGCUCUUUCUUGAUUCGGUGGGUGGUGGUGCAUGGCCGUUCUUAGUUGGUGGAGCGAUUUGUCUGGUUUAUUCCGAUAACGAACGAGACUCUGGCCUACUAAAUAGUGGGCGGAUUCUUUCUGUCCGCAACACUUCUUAGAGGGACAAGCGGUGUUCAGCCGCACGAGAUUGAGCAAUAACAGGUCUGUGAUGCCCUUAGAUGUCCGGGGCUGCACGCGCGCUACACUGAAGGAAUCAGCGUGCUUUCUGACCUUGCCCGAAAGGGCUGGGUAACCCGAUGAAAAUCCUUCGUGAUUGGGAUAGGGACUUGCAAUUAUUUCCCUUGAACGAGGAAUUCCCAGUAAGUGUGGGUCAUAAGCUCGCGUUGAUUACGUCCCUGCCCUUUGUACACACCGCCCGUCGCUGCCCGGAACUGAGCCGUUUCGAGAAGAACAGGGACCGUCGUUGAAGGGCCUUAACGGGCUUUUCUCUGAUAGAAACUGUU